GAUGAACGCUGGCGGCGUGCCUAAUACAUGCAAGUCGAGCGAACAGACGAGGAGCUUGCUCCUCUGACGUUAGCGGCGGACGGGUGAGUAACACGUGGAUAACCUACCUAUAAGACUGGGAUAACUUCGGGAAACCGGAGCUAAUACCGGAUAAUAUAUUGAACCGCAUGGUUCAAUAGUGAAAGACGGCUUUGCUGUCACUUAUAGAUGGAUCCGCGCCGGAUUAGCUAGUUGGUAAGGUAACGGCUUACCAAGGCAACGAUGCGUAGCCGACCUGAGAGGGUGAUCGGCCACACUGGAACUGAGACACGGUCCAGACUCCUACGGGAGGCAGCAGUAGGGAAUCUUCCGCAAUGGGCGAAAGCCUGACGGAGCAACGCCGCGUGAGUGAUGAAGGUCUUCGGAUCGUAAAACUCUGUUAUUAGGGAAGAACAAAUGUGUAAGUAACUAUGCACGUCUUGACGGUACCUAAUCAGAAAGCCACGGCUAACUACGUG
This 497-nucleotide ribosomal RNA is filed under the name uncultured bacterium. RNAcentral's name for it is "partial 16S ribosomal RNA". It matches the Rfam family "Bacterial small subunit ribosomal RNA", at positions 28 to 507 of the family's 1533-position model. The record is from RNAcentral.